ACCUCUGCAAUAGGCGAAAGCUUGACAGGGUUACUCUGAGUGAUGUCCGCUAAGGGCAUCUUUUGGCACUUCUAAAAAUAGUGUAGAAUAAGGGGUGGGCAAGUCUGGUGUCAGCCGCCGCGGUAAUACCAGCACCCCGAGUGGUCGGGACGAUUAUUGGGCCUAAAGCAUCCGUAGCCGGUUCUGCAAGUCUUCCGUUAAAUCCACCUGCUCAAUAGAUGGGCUGCGGAGGAUACUACAGGGCUAGGAGGCGGGAGAGGCAAGCGGUACUCAGUGGGUAGGGGUAAAAUCCUCUGAUCCACUGAAGACCACCAGUGGCGAAGGCGGCUUGCCAGAACGCGCUCGACGGUGAGGGAUGAAAGCUGGGGGAGCAAACCGGAUUAGAUACCCGGGUAGUCCCAGCUGUAAACGAUGCAGACUCGGUGAUGAGUUGGCUUAUUGCUAACUCAGUGCCGCAGGGAAGCCGUUAAGUUUGCCGCCUGGGGAGUACGGUCGCAAGACUGAAACUUAA
This 511-nucleotide ribosomal RNA is filed under the name uncultured archaeon. Its description in RNAcentral is "bacterial SSU rRNA". It matches the Rfam family "Archaeal small subunit ribosomal RNA", at positions 346 to 859 of the family's 1478-position model. The record is from RNAcentral.